UGAAUUCAUCUCCGGGGGUAGAGCACUGUUUCGGCUAGGGGGCCAUCCCGGCUUACCAACCCGAUGCAAACUGCGAAUACCGGAGAAUGUUAUCACGGGAGACACACGGCGGGUGCUAACGUCCGUCGUGAAGAGGGAAACAACCCAGACCGCCAGCUAAGGUCCCAAAGUCAUGGUUAAGUGGGAAACGAUGUGGGAAGGCCCAGACAGCCAGGAUGUUGGCUUAGAAGCAGCCAUCAUUUAAAGAAAGCGUAAUAGCUCACUGGUCGAGUCGGCCUGCGCGGAAGAUGUAACGGGGCUAAACCAUGCACCGAAGCUGCGGCAGCGACGCUGAUGCGUUGUUGGGUAGGGGAGCGUUCUGUAAGCCUGCGAAGGUGGCCUGUGAGGGUUGCUGGAGGUAUCAGAAGUGCGAAUGCUGACAUAAGUAACGAUAAAGCGGGUGAAAAGCCCGCUCGCCGGAAGACCAAGGGUUCCUGUCCAACGUUAAUCGGGGCAGGGUGAGUCGACCCCUAAGGCGAGGCCGAAAGGCGUAGUCGAUGGGAAACGGGUUAAUAUUCCCGUACUUGGUGUUACUGCGAAGGGGGGACGGAGAAGGCUAUGUUGGCCGGGCGACGGUU
RNAcentral lists this ribosomal RNA (617 nucleotides) under Salmonella enterica. Its description in RNAcentral is "partial 23S ribosomal RNA". It matches the Rfam family "Bacterial large subunit ribosomal RNA", at positions 885 to 1503 of the family's 2925-position model. Lineage: Bacteria; Pseudomonadati; Pseudomonadota; Gammaproteobacteria; Enterobacterales; Enterobacteriaceae. The record is from RNAcentral. RNAcentral also lists the same sequence under 1 other name.